Molecule: long non-coding RNA, 4714 nt
Filed under: Sus scrofa (pig)
Lineage: Eukaryota; Metazoa; Chordata; Mammalia; Artiodactyla; Suidae
Description: lncRNA (ENSSSCG00000054722.1)
Source: RNAcentral
CAGGCUAGGGGUCUAAUCCGAGCUGUAGCCGCCGGCCUACACACACUGCCACAGCCACGCCAGAUCCGAGCCGCCUCUGGGACCUACACUACACAGCUCACAGCAAGGCCAGAUCCUUAACCCACUGAGUGAGGCCAGGGAUCAAACCCGCAGCCUCAUGGUUCCUAGUCGGAUUUGUUUCCACUGCACCAUGACAGGAACUUCCAAGUUUGACUAUACUUUAAAUUUAGAUUUCGAACUCUUGUUUCUGCUGAUUAUAUGCUUAAAUUUCUUUAUAUAAAAAAUUCUGUAUGAUUACUAUCUUUGAAGUUUAUGAGUAAAUUGGAAAGUUGGUUUGGGGAUUCUCUGGUUAGUUAAUUAAAAGGUAGAGCUAGUUCAGUAUUCCAGCUGUGUGUUUAGGAAUUAUUAACUCUGCUUUUUAAUUGGUCUUACCAAGUAUGGUGGGGAGAGUAGUGGGAACUAUUUAUUGUGGGCUUCGUAAGCUAGUGGCUGCAAUAGAGUCCAGUAUAUACAAUCUCAUUAUUUCUUAAAACAUUUAUUUAGAAUAGGUGAUAUUAACUUUUCCAUAAGUGAGUGUACAGAGGAGCCAAGAAAGACAUUUAAUAGUUUGCAACGCACAGUGAAAGACGGAAAUUCAGACAACUUUCUCUGAUUUCCAAAGCCGGAUUUUCACCACCACGUGUAAAGAGAUGACAUGGUGCGGGAAUUAAGGGCACUAACCUUACAGCCUGGGUUUGAAUCUCAGCAUUGCCACCAGCUUUGUAAGCUUGAUGGCGUUUUAGAUAUUUCUGCCUUUUUCUUCUUCUGUUAAAUGGGAAUAAUGGAACCUUCUCAUAGGGUUACUUUGGUAAACGGAUGAAAUAACAUUUGUAGAGUUCUUAAAACUGAGCCUAACCACUUUAUAAUUAAGUAAAUUACUUAAGUAAUUAAGUACAUUGUUUGAAAUCCUUUUUUCUUUUUUUUUGCCACACUUGUGGGCUAUGGAAGUUCCUGGGCCAGCGAUGGAAUCCGAGCCACAGCUGCAACAACUCUUGGUCCUUAACCCACUGCAACAGCCAGGGAUUGCAGUGGCCCGAGCCACUGCAGUCAGAUUUUUUUUUUUUUUUUGGUCUUUUUGGGCCGCACCUUUGGUAUAUGGAAGUUCCCAGGCAACGCCGGAUCCUCAACCCACCGAACAAGGCCAGGGAUUGAACCCGAGUCCUCACGGACACUAGUCUCAUUCUCAAGGAUACUAGUCAGGUUCGUUACCACUGAGCCACCACGGGAACUCCUACUGUCAGGUUCUUAACCCACUGCCACAGUGGGAACUCCUGAAAUUGUCUUUAAUGAACAUCCUUUUACCAAUUGAGUGAAAUUCGGUGAAAUCUGAACAGAUUGUUCCAAGUGGAAUUUGGAGGUUUUUGUUUUUCUUUUUCUAGAUACUACUAUUCUCUUGACUCUUGUUUAUUUGAAUCAGGAUUCAGGUCCCACACACUGUAAUUGACCAAAACUCUUUCAGGCCUCUUAGUUUGUAUGUUUCUUUUUCUUUUCUUUUUUCUUUUUUGCUUUCACUUUUUUUUUUCUGGUUUGUUCAGUGAUUUUUUUUCCUCUGUUUUGUUGUUGUUGUUUUAGGGCCACACUGGCUGUGGCCUGUGGAGGUUCCCAGGCUAAGGGUCCAAUCAGAGCUGUAGCUGCUUGCCUACACCACAGCAGUCAGGAACCGAGCCAUGUCUGUGACCUACGCUAUAGCCACUGCAUCCUUAACCCACUGAGCAAGGCCAGGGAUCGAACCCUCAUCCUCAUAGAUACUAGUUGGCUUCGUUAACCACUGAGCCAUGGCAGGAACUCACAGUGAUUCUCAUCUAUAUCAUAUUCGCAGAAUUUAUUGAGCAUCAUAGAGUAAUUGUGUCAGUUAUUUAUCCUCCUUCAAUAUGUGUGUAAAUAGUGUUUGGUUUGAUUGUGUGCCCGAUUCUUGUUAGCUUUUCCAGGUAGUUUGUUUGCUAUCCUGUUUUUCCUACCUAGUAUAUACUUAAUGUAUUAUAAAAUUGAACUAAACAUCCUGGGUUUGCAGCGUCUUUGGUUACUAGUGAAUAGUUUUCUCAGCCUUUUUGGUCUGAAAAUUUCUCUUCUCAAAACUGCAUUUUUGGAGUUCCUGUUGUGGCGCAGGGGAAACAAAUCCAACCCGUGUCCAUGAUGAUGCAGGUUCGAUCCCUGGCCUCAAUCAGUGGGUUGGGUAUUUGGCAUUGCUGCGAGUUGUGGAGUACGCUGGCAGCUGUAGCUCCGAUUCAACCCCUAGCCUGGGAACUUCCAUAUGCCAUGGGUGCAGCCCUAAAAAGCAAAAAACCCCAAAACAGAACAAAACAGAAAAAAAACCUGUCUUUUUUUUUUUUUUUUUUUUCUAUUAAGCAUUUUACUCUUGACAUUUAUUAAGUACUCACUAUAGACCAGACACUUUUUUUACUUCCCUGGCAAAACAUCUAGGCACUAUUCUUAUAUAUAUUUACUCAUUUAAUCAUCAACCUCCAAGUUACAGAUAGGGGUUUGAAGCAGAAAGUUGAAAAAGUUGCCUAAAAUCACGCAGCUCGUAAGUGUCAGAGCCAGCUAGAUCCAGAGUCUGCUCUUCUAACAAGUUUGGAUUGGAAUAAAAACAUGUUUUGUUUUGUUUUUUGUGUUUUUUUUUUUGCUAUUUCUUGGGCCGCUCCUUCGGCACAUGGAGGUUCCCAGGCUAGGGGUCGAAUUGGAGCUGUAGCCACCGGCCUAUGCCAGAGCCACAGCAACGCAGGAUCCGAGCUGCGUCUGCGACCUACACCACAGCUCACAGCAACGCCGGAUCGUUAACCCACUGAGCAAGGGCAGGGAUCGAACCCGCAACCUCAUGGUUCCUAGUCGGAUUUUUUAACCACUGCACCAUGACGGGAACUCCUAAAAACAUGUUUUGUGAUAUAGUAGUCACUACUAUUAAAUCUCUUGGCGUUCCCGUGUGCCUUAGUGGUGUGGUCACUGCAGUGGCUUGCGUCACUGUUGUGGCACAAGUUCAGUCCUUGCCUGGCCCAGGAACUUCCACAUGCCACAGGUGCAGCCAAAAAUAAAUGAAUAAAUAAAAAAUAAAUCUCUCAAUUAUAAACACUUACAGUUUUUAUAAAUGUGACAAAUCGCCUAUUUACUUACCUUGAUAAGAAAUUGAAGCCUUCAGAAUCAGUGUAGCUGCAAAUAUUUGGUAAAAGCUACCUCUACUGAAUGGUUGGUUUGUAGUUGAUAUAAUAACUUUUGGAGCAAAUGCUAUGAAAACAUUUUUGCUAUUUAAGAUACUUGUGUAAAUUUAAUCCACUGUCUUGUCUGAGUCUUACAGCCAGAAUUUGAUGUGUCAGAAUGUGUCAGGUGAUAAACUUGUAUCAGUAGGCUACUUUUGUCACUUCCUAUGCUUAUUUUGAACUGUUGUAAUUUAGGUAAAUUGCCUUUUUAUUAGUGGGAUACUGCAUAGGUAUGGUUGUACCAAGUGCUUGUGACCUUUGAAUGGCAAAAUAAUGGAAAGGAGAUAUUCACUUGAGAAGGGUUAUCUUUAACCAUUUUGUGCUCUGUGAAAUUACUUUCAGGAAACCUUUUUUGGAAAAUGAAUCCAAAGAAGGCACAAUGAUUAAAUUUAUUAGUGAUGGGAAGAUUGGCAAGAUUCCUGUGUUGGACAUUCUACUAAUUGGGCUUUAAAGUUGUCCGUUUAUCUGUUUACCAUUUUAACCCCAUUCUGGUACUGCCUUUUUGUUAAUCUGAGUGGGAGAGGGAGCUGGAAAGGACAUGUAAUUUAAAGUUUGUAUGCAAACACACAUUCGCUUUCAGUCCUGGGCCCCCUUUCUAGCUGUGACCCAACCUCUGCCAAUCCAAACACACUUGACCGGGGACUUGAACCUGGAGUGAGAGAGAUACAAAGGAACAAGGACAGUUCAGAAUUUAUUUCAGUGGCUGUGGCAAUGCUAGUUUUUAGCUGUUUUCUGACUCUUCCUGUAUAUUUUAUGACCUUGGUUGGUGGUUUUGACUGCUUAACUUUACUUGAUUUUUACAGGUGUGCCAAAUCAUUCAGUUUUUGAACUCAGUAUCCAUCCUGCUGAUAAUUCCUUUUCUGCUUAAUCUACCUGAAAAGGUUUCUUUUUUUAACCAAGGACCCUGGUUUUUGGGGGUUUUUUGGGGGGAGGGGUGUCUUUUGAGGGCCACACCGGAGGCAUAUGGAAGUUCCCAGGCUAGGGGUCUAAUGGAAACUGUAGCUGCUGGCCUACGCCACAGCCAUAGCAAUGUGGGAUCUGAGCUGCAUCUGCAAACUACUCACAGUUCACGGCAACACCUGAUUCUUAACCCACUGAGGGAGGCCAGGGAUUGAACCCUCAUCCUCUUGGAUACUAGCUGGGUUCCUUACCACUGAGGCACAACAGGAACUCCCAGUAUGGUAUAUGUGCUGCUGAAGUACUCACCUACUUCGAGUUUUUAAAAGCAGUAGUUUUCAACCUUUUAAAAUGUAUCUGGGGGUAGGAGUUCCCCUCAUGGCUCAGCUACAGAUAGACAGACAGGUAGCCGGGGGCCAUAUAUGUAAACAGUAAAUCUUCCCCCAUUCCAGCAAGAAACUAAUUUGCGUGGUACUACUUUGUACUAAGACUUCCUGGUUCCCCCUUAAGCUCCAGGAGUUGUCACUGCUGUGGCUCUGGUUACACCUGUGGUGCAGGUUCACUGACCCAGGAACUUGUUCAUGCCA